This 216-nucleotide ribosomal RNA is filed under the name uncultured bacterium. Its description in RNAcentral is "partial 16S ribosomal RNA". It matches the Rfam family "Bacterial small subunit ribosomal RNA", at positions 1285 to 1500 of the family's 1533-position model. The record is from RNAcentral.
GUCUCAGUUCGGAUUGUAGUCUGCAACCCGACUACAUGAAGCUGGAAUCGCUAGUAAUCGCGAAUCAGAAUGUCGCGGUGAAUACGUUCCCGGGUCUUGUACACACCGCCCGUCACACCAUGGGAGUCGGAAAUGCCCGAAGUCAGUGACCCAACCGUAAGGAGGGAGCUGCCGAAGGUGGAGCCGGUAACUGGGGUGAAGUCGUAACAAGGUAGC